Molecule: microRNA precursor, 179 nt
Filed under: Marmota monax (woodchuck)
Lineage: Eukaryota; Metazoa; Chordata; Mammalia; Rodentia; Sciuridae
Source: RNAcentral
AUCUCUCUCUCUCUCUCUCUCUCUCUCUCUCUAUAUAUAUAUAUAUAUAUAUAUAUAUAUAUAUAUAUAUAUAUAUUCAUUCUGGUCCUCUCUCUCUCUCUCUCUCUCUCUCUAUAUAUAUAUAUAUAUAUAUAUAUAUAUAUAUAUAGAGAGAGAGAGAGAGAGAGAGAGAGAGAGAG